Molecule: RNA transcript, 1644 nt
Organism: Ananas comosus (pineapple)
Lineage: Eukaryota; Viridiplantae; Streptophyta; Magnoliopsida; Poales; Bromeliaceae
Exons: 4
Source: RefSeq, a predicted model, not a curated record
UUGUAUAAGCAAACUUUCUCCCGUUCUCCGUCCAUUUUUCACUAAAGCCCUUCAUAUUUUUCAUAUUACUAUCUUUCCAGUAUGCAAAGCGGCGCCAAGAAGAAGCCCCGCUCCUCCGCCACCACCACCUCCUCCGGCGCCGGCGCCAGCGCAGGCGACGCUGCCGUCGGAGUCCGCCAUGCAUGGGCGGAGCUCCCCGACGCACUCCUCGUCUCCAUCCUCGGCCUCCUCCUCUCCCACCGCGACCUCCUCUCCUUCUCCUCCGUGUGCCGCUCAUGGCGCGUCCUCGCCACCACCGCCGCCCCACUCCGCCACCUCCCCCCUCUCCUCCUCCGCCCCUCCCACCUCACCCCUCUCCUCCGCCGCCACCGUAACCCUAACCCUACCUUCAACCUCCUCGACCCCUCCUCACCACACUCCGUCGCCCGCUCCUCCCCGCUCUCCCCCCAAACCCUCUCCCUCCCCUUCCUCGGCCUCUCCCAUGGCCGCCUCAUCCUCCUCCUCUCCGUCACCGGCGCCGAGCUCCGGACCCCGCCCCUCCCUCCUCCCAACACUAACCUCCACUUCGGUCUCCUCACCGCCCCACUCGCCGCCCCCGAGUCCUCCCUCCUCCUUCUCGGAUACGACUCCUUCCUGUUCCAAUGGCGCCCCGGGUCCCCCGAAUGGCUCCGGACCCCUUUCCGCGUCGCCCCGACCAUCACCCACAUCGUCCCCUUCGAGGGCCGGGUUCUCGCCAUGGACGACGCUGAGCGGCUUUUCGUCAUACACCUGGCGGGCGAUGCCGAUUCCUGUGUAACGGAGCUGGAGGUGAGCUGGGUGGGGCAAAAGAUUGCGCCUUUCUCGCUAUGUCGCUACUUGAUCGUGUGCGGCAGUGAGCUCCUGCUGGUUCGGUUCGUUCCGUCGAAAAUGAUGCUGCAUUUGGGGAUCGAAGCCCUCAGGUUGGAUCGGUUGGAGCCGUGGAGAUGGGUGAAAAUGGAGAGCUUAGGCGAUCGGGCGCUCUUUAUUGGUGAAAAUUAUAGAACCCUAGGAUUUUCAUGUGAUUCUCCAAAGAAAUGGGGAGGAGAGAGCAAUUCCAUCUACUAUGCUGGUUCAGGGAAUCAGCCUUGGAGUGUGCUUCGAUUGGGCGACGCCGCGAUCGAUCUGAGUGACCCGGAAUUGACGCUAAUUAAGGAUGGUUCUCCACUUUCGCGGACGCCAAAGUGGUUUUACCCAAGUUUGUACGGAGGAGGCCAAGGUCAUGGCGCGUUGCGUGCUAGCGAGCCGACGGCUUAGAGGCUCCUUGUUGAGAAACCAUCAUGACUAUAUGCGUAUCAUUGCAUACAUCGUAUGAAUAAUAAAGUAGGGGUGAGCGGGUGCGGCCUCGAGUAGUUAGCGGUGGAAAUACUCUGUUUAGAGGCAUUUUGGGUUGUAUAUUUUUGAAAACUAAAACACCAAAAAUAUAUUAUGUUAAGUUGAAUAUGGAAUGUAAACUUGUAGUAACUUGUGUAAUGUGUGGGGGUGUGAACUAAUGUUUAAAUCGAAUAGUCGAUAUUUUGUAAUCUCUUGGAAAGAUUUAUUUUACGAGCUAAAAUGUAAUGUUAUGUCUAGUUUUUGGUAUACUUUUUACAAAAUAGUGAAAGCUAGUAAUCUAUACCUCUAUACCUA